CAGAGUUCAUGCCCGAAAGGGUAGACCUCCCACCCUUGUGUAUUAUUACUUUGUUGCUUUGGCGAGCUGCCUUCGGGCCUUGUAUGCUCGCCAGAGAUUACCAAAACUCUUUUUAUUAAUGUCGUCUGAGUACUAUAUAAUAGUUA
This 146-nucleotide ribosomal RNA is filed under the name Botrytis cinerea. Lineage: Eukaryota; Fungi; Ascomycota; Leotiomycetes; Helotiales; Sclerotiniaceae. The record is from RNAcentral.